RNAcentral lists this ribosomal RNA (422 nucleotides) under uncultured bacterium. RNAcentral's name for it is "partial 16S ribosomal RNA". It matches the Rfam family "Bacterial small subunit ribosomal RNA", at positions 359 to 773 of the family's 1533-position model. The record is from RNAcentral.
GAAUUUUGGGCAAUGGGGGCAACCCUGAUCCAGCCAUCCCGCGUGUGCGAUGAAGGACUUCGGGUCGUAAAGCACUUUUAGCAGGGAAGAAAAGGCUCUGGCUAAUACCUGGAGCUGCUGACGGUACCUCCAGAAUAAGCACCCGCUAACUACGGCCCCGCACCCGAGGUAAUACGUAGGGUGCAAGCGUUAAUCGGAAUUACUGGGCGUAAAGCGUGCGCAGGCCGUUCGGCAAGAAGGAUGUGAAAUCCCAGGGCUUAACCUUGGAACUGCAUUCUUAACUGCCGGGCUAGCGUAUGUCAGAGGGGGGUAGAAUUCCGCGUGUAGCAGUGAAAUGCGUAGCGAUGCGGAGGAAUACCGAUGGCGAAGGCAGCCCCCUGGGAUAAUACUGACGCUCAUGCACGAAAGCGUGGGGAGCAAAC